CCUACGGGUGGCAGCAGUGAGGAAUAUUGGUCACUGGACGAGAGUCUGAACCAGCCAAGUAGCGUGAAGGAUGACUGCCCUAUGGGUUGUAAACUUCUUUUAUAUGGGAAUAAAACGUUCCACGUGUGGGAUUUUGUAUGUACCAUAUGAAUAAGGUUCGGCUCACUCCGUGCCAGCAGCCGCGGUAAUACUGCGGAUCCGAGCGUUAUCCGGAUUUAUUGGGUUUAUAGGGAGCGUAGGUGGAUUGUUAAGUCAGUUGUGAAAGUUUGCGGCUCAACCGUAAAAUUGCAGUUGAAACUGGCAGUCUUGAGUACAGUAGAGGUGGGCGGAAUUCGUGGUGUAGCGGUGAAAUGCUUAGAUAUCACGAAGAACUCCGAUUGCGAAGGCAGUUCACUGGACUGCAACUGACACGGAGGCUCGAAAGUGUGGGUAUCAAACAGGAUUAGAUACCCGAGUAGUC
RNAcentral lists this ribosomal RNA (460 nucleotides) under uncultured bacterium. Its description in RNAcentral is "partial 16S ribosomal RNA". It matches the Rfam family "Bacterial small subunit ribosomal RNA", at positions 338 to 795 of the family's 1533-position model. The record is from RNAcentral.